RNAcentral lists this ribosomal RNA (256 nucleotides) under uncultured bacterium. RNAcentral's name for it is "partial 16S ribosomal RNA". It matches the Rfam family "Bacterial small subunit ribosomal RNA", at positions 524 to 776 of the family's 1533-position model. The record is from RNAcentral.
UACGGAGGGAGCUAGCGUUGUUCGGAAUUACUGGGCGUAAAGCGCACGUAGGCGGCUUUGUAAGUUAGAGGUGAAAGCCCGGAGCUCAACUCCGGAACUGCCUUUAAAACUGCAUCGCUUGAAUCCAGGAGAGGUGAGUGGAAUUCCGAGUGUAGAGGUGAAAUUCGUAGAUAUUCGGAAGAACACCAGUGGCGAAGGACGGCUGCACUGGAGCUGGUAUUGACGCUGAGGUGCGAAAGCGUGGGGAGCAAACAGG